AUUGAACGCUGGCGGCAUGCCUUACACAUGCAAGUCGAACGGUAACGGGCCUUCGGGUGCCGACGAGUGGCGAACGGGUGAGUAAUACAUCGGAACGUGCCCGAUCGUGGGGGAUAACGAGGCGAAAGCUUUGCUAAUACCGCAUACGAUCUACGGAUGAAAGCAGGGGACCGCAAGGCCUUGCGCGGACGGAGCGGCCGAUGGCAGAUUAGGUAGUUGGUGGGAUAAAAGCUUACCAAGCCGACGAUCUGUAGCUGGUCUGAGAGGAUGAUCAGCCACACUGGGACUGAGACACGGCCCAGACUCCUACGGGAGGCAGCAGUGGGGAAUUUUGGACAAUGGGCGCAAGCCUGAUCCAGCCAUGCCGCGUGCAGGAUGAAGGCCUUCGGGUUGUAAACUGCUUUUGUACGGAACGAAAAGCCUUCUUUUAAUACAGGAGGGUCAUGACGGUACCGUAAGAAUAAGCACCGGCUAACUAUGUG
This 482-nucleotide ribosomal RNA is filed under the name uncultured bacterium. RNAcentral's name for it is "partial 16S ribosomal RNA". It matches the Rfam family "Bacterial small subunit ribosomal RNA", at positions 30 to 507 of the family's 1533-position model. The record is from RNAcentral.